CCUACGGGCGGCAGCAGUAGGGAAUCUUCCACAAUGGACGAAAGUCUGAUGGAGCAACGCCGCGUGAGUGAAGAAGGGUUUCGGCUCGUAAAGCUCUGUCGGUAGGGAAGAAAGAUAGUGGCAGCAACCGGCCUUUAUUUGACGGUAAUUCCUUAGAAAGUCACGGCUAACUACGUGCCAGCAGCCGCGGUAAUACGUAGGUCGCAAGCGUUGUUCGGAAUUAUUGGGCGUAAAGCGAGCGUAGGCGGUUGUAUAAGUUGGGUGUGAAAGCCGUCGGCUCAACCGGGGAAUAGACGCGGAAACUGUUGAACUUGAGUGCGGGAGAGGAGAGUGGAACUCCAGGUGUAGCAGUGAAAUGCGUAGAUAUAUGGAAGAACACCAGUGGCGAAGGCGG
This 394-nucleotide ribosomal RNA is filed under the name uncultured bacterium. RNAcentral describes it as "partial 16S ribosomal RNA". It matches the Rfam family "Bacterial small subunit ribosomal RNA", at positions 338 to 724 of the family's 1533-position model. The record is from RNAcentral.